GGUCAGCCCGUUCUGCCGCCGCUGGAAGACCUGAGGUGGAGGAAGACCAGGGGGAAAAUCAGUGUGAUGGAGUGACUUCUUGAAGACAAGUCCUUGUUCUCAGCAAAGUGUCCUGAUGCGUUGCCAGAGUAAAUCGAAUCCCAGAUCUUGAUGCUUCACUCAGGGGUGUGUCCAUGGAUUGCACUGCCUUGGUGAUAGUUCCUGGGUGCUUCUGUCUCAUUGAUAUUGGGCUCCACGUGGCAAAUUCCUGAGCCCUUGAAGGUCCUGGGAGGGCAGAGAGUCAACAUGGAGGAACCUGAUGUCCUGCCAUACUGAAGAGCUUCAAGCUGAAUGAGUGAACUCUUUUUUGUCUCCAUUUGGCACCCAGAAAGAUCUCUGGUGGAGGUGCAUGACUUGGAGGUGCCUGAUUUGGAGGUGUGUUACUUUGGAGGUGUAUCACUUGUGGAUAAGCAGCACCCAAAUCCAGACCCACGCAGGGGGAAAUGAGCUACAUCCCAAGGAAAACCUUCUCUCCGAUAACUGCCUGUACUUUUGCAUUGGAAAACGUGUAACUUUGUGCCCAGCUCUUCAAAGCAUCCAGACUACUUUAAUCGAGGAUCUUCCACUCAAUUUACUCUUUUCUGGGCCUUUCCAUCACUGGUAACAUUUAUCAGUAAUGAUAUUAUGUCUUUUGAAAGGUGUUGACAACGUGUUAAAUGACGUGGGGCCAAGGACAGAUCCAAGCAUUUAGAACUGAGGAACAUCUCUAGAAAUGUUCCUGCUUUGGUGCCAGCUCCUGGUUUGUCCUUAAGCUGAGGGAUCAGCUGUAAAGCUGUUGAUGUCUUGGCUGUGGGGAGGGAGGAGAAAAUGCAACUGCUCUGGUGAGUCUUCAUAUCUAGCUGGGUGUGGGCUAUGGUGGGUGUCCAACAAACUCCCUCAGAUAAAAGGUGUUUAGGUAAAUUCAUACCAGGGAUCUACUGGGAGACACUUUCAGAUGUUUCUGCUUUCUUUUGCAGAGAAUUGAGCCCUUCCCUCCUCCAGAGCCCCCAACACUCAACCUUUGAACAUCAUGGACUGAAGCCUGGCUGAUGGAUGCUUGGAGCCCAGCAGGACUUAAACACUACAUGGAUGGAUGAGGCCAAGCCUGGCCAUUGCUCCUGUGCCAUGGCAGUGCUGAUGCCUGCUGGGCAGCCUGUUUUAUCACUUGCAUGAUCACUAGGUGGGUGAGAAAGCCCACUCUGGUUCUGUAAUUCAGAAUAUACUGUAUAUCUGUAUAGAUCUAGUAUAGUGAAUAUAAGACAAAAUAACUAUAUAAUAAGGGUGUGCUGAAUGCUGCAUGCCAGGGUCAGAAGUUCUGUGGGAGAAUCUGUGUGGGCAGGGGUGAGAAGGACCAGGGAGGGUUGGAAAAAGACAUGUGGGGGAAUUUGGAGCAGUGGGGUGAGGUCUGAGGGCAAAACAGCAACAGAGGAGGGAGGGCAGCUGGGAAGCACAGUGUUUAGGUAGGAGCUGGGUAUCCAGGACCAGGUCACGCUUAUCCAGACCCUGAAUCUCAAACUACUUCACGUUGUCCAGUCAUCCAGGUGAUGCACAUCUACUUAGCUGUGUGCCAUAAAACCAUGGCUUUUCUGCUUGAUCCCGGCACAAGGUGUUGAGGCAGAACAAGGAUGAUGAGUAUUAAGCUGUGGGGGUGCUGCAGAGGAAGGCAGACAUGCCAGCACAGGGAUGCCUUCAGGAAGCAGAAAGCUGGGAGCCACCGCGCCAACUGUGCUCCCUGCAAAGGUCAACCUCGGAGUUCGAAGUACCAGCCUCUGUAUUUUGUGCUGACAUCCAUGGGAAAGGAAGAUUUGGGCUUGACCAGGAGAUGUCUCUGUUAAGCCACGUCGAGCUGAGCGUGGACGCAAAGCGGGAGGAGAGGACUGAGCCGAGGAAGCUCAGACCUGCAGCAAACCACUGCUGGUGGAGGGACCCUCCCUUUGCUCUCACCACUGCCUCAAAUUAGCAACCUGAAGAGCAUCACCUUGUUACAGCCCUCCAGCAGCUACUUAAGUGCUGUUUCUGUUUGGAACAGCUUGGGUGGAGGUAGCAGACGUCUGCCUGACUGCCAAGGCAGACUGCAGCAGGUCUGGCGUGGAGAACCUCUUCUCCCAGUGAGCUCUGCCCAUUGCUGCGUCUCCUUCGGCGAGGAGAAGACACAGUUUUCUCUGGUCUACAGGAUGGACCAGGGACUGGGCAAAUAAAUGGGUUAGGAAGGGACACGCUGUUGCUCCUGGCUCCCGGCCCUGCUGCCUGAUUUGCCUGAAUAGGUGGGAGUAGAGGGCAUUUAGUGGAACAAAAGCAGGUGGGAGUUUUAAUCUGUUAUAUAUGAGUAAGUAAUACAUUUAUAGAGAUAUUUCUUGAGGGCUUGCAGCCUCUGAAAUGUGAGAUUAGCAGAGAAGAAGAAUUUAUCCAGCUAUAUAAUAAAAGCAGACCCGAGUCUUCACUCCCAACCCCAUUAACCUCGCCACGGUUUCUGUGCUUGUGGCAAUUCAGGAGGGAGAGGGACAAAAUACUGCAUGAAGAAGCUGGUGCUGCAGUGCUUGGGUACCGGGAUGCUGCUACUUUUAUCCCUGCCCAUGCAGUGCCAGGCUGCUCUUGCUGAUAGGAUCUUAUUUUUGGGACCAAGCCCUGGGCUCUGUCGUGCUCCCCCAGG
Corapipo altera (White-ruffed manakin) is the source of this 2668-nucleotide long non-coding RNA. RefSeq lists it as uncharacterized. The record is from RefSeq and is a predicted model, not a curated record. NCBI's taxonomy places the organism in Eukaryota, Metazoa, Chordata, Aves, Passeriformes, Pipridae. The transcript is spliced from 5 exons.